UGGAACGGAAAUCAGGUUGGGCAGCGU
Molecule: non-coding RNA, 27 nt
Filed under: Mus musculus (house mouse)
Lineage: Eukaryota; Metazoa; Chordata; Mammalia; Rodentia; Muridae
Source: RNAcentral